GUGAGCUUGGGAUUUGUUCUUCUUGGUGGCCUUCAAGGUGUAAAUCUAUGUCCCAAGUUUUGACAGAAGUGUAGCAGUAGCUAUUUGAGCUAUUUAUGCUGUUUCUUUGUGUUAUUGUAGUUCCCAGAUUUGAUGUUAGUCUGUUGAUUUGAGCAAUGUUACUUGAUGAGCAUGUUCUCUCAAGAUUUAUCAUUCAUGGCAACUGAUUUGCUUUAUUAGUCACCUGUAGAUGGUUUUUACUUUU
RNAcentral lists this unclassified non-coding RNA (244 nucleotides) under Hevea brasiliensis (rubber tree). Lineage: Eukaryota; Viridiplantae; Streptophyta; Magnoliopsida; Malpighiales; Euphorbiaceae. The record is from RNAcentral.